This is a long non-coding RNA of Homo sapiens (human), 415 nucleotides long. Ensembl annotates it as EIF1B antisense RNA 1. Its record names the gene EIF1B-AS1. NCBI's taxonomy places the organism in Eukaryota, Metazoa, Chordata, Mammalia, Primates, Hominidae. The record is from Ensembl.
AGAGUUCGCAGGUCUGGGGCUCUCUUCCCAGAGAGCUCGUAGGGGAGGACAGUCAAGGGACUCAAGCGUCUCUCUUGACUCCCCUUCUCUCGCUGUGCAGUGGCGGCGCCGAGGGGUCGACGCUCAGGGCUAAUCUCUAUGAGUCACCCUCGAGGCCCCGGGUAAUGUAAGUAAAAUCGGGGUGCAGGAACAAAACAAGUCCCCUUGCUCCGGCUUUCAACUCAUUGGCCCCCGCUCAGCAACUACCUGCAUUGAAAUUCCAACCCCAGUUGCAGGAGCGGUGUUAGUCUCAACCAAUACUGGAGAUGGGAGCCUCUCUUUCCAGGAUUGGACGGACCUCCGAUUCCCUAGCACGGUGGAUCUCAGACUAAAGCGUGUGUCUCUGGAGGGCUUGAGAAAACACUGAUAGACCCCA